AACGAACGCUGGCGGCAUGCCUAACACAUGCAAGUCGAACGAGACCUUCGGGUCUAGUGGCGCACGGGUGCGUAAAGCGUGGGAACCUGCCCUUAGGUUCGGAAUAACUCCCCGAAAGGGGUGCUAAUACCGGAUAAUGUCUUCGGACCAAAUAUUUAUCGCCUUUGGGUGGGCCCGCGUUGGAUUAGCUAGUUGGUAGGGUAAAAGCCUACCAAGGCGACGAUCCAUAGCUGGUCUGAGAGGAUGAUCAGCCACACUGGGACUGGGACACGGCCCAGAAUCCUACGGGAGGCAGCAGUGGGGGAUAUUGGACAAUGGGGGGAAGCAUGAUCCAGCAAUGCCGGGUGAGUGAUGAAGGCCUUAGGGUUGUAAAGCUCUUUUACCCGGGAUGAUAAUGACAGUACCGGGAGAAUAAGCUCCGGCUAACUCCGCG
Molecule: ribosomal RNA, 433 nt
Filed under: uncultured bacterium
Lineage: Bacteria
Description: partial 16S ribosomal RNA
Rfam family: Bacterial small subunit ribosomal RNA
Source: RNAcentral